This 495-nucleotide ribosomal RNA is filed under the name uncultured bacterium. RNAcentral describes it as "partial 16S ribosomal RNA". It matches the Rfam family "Bacterial small subunit ribosomal RNA", at positions 28 to 507 of the family's 1533-position model. The record is from RNAcentral.
GACGAACGCUGGCGGCGUGCCUAAUACAUGCAAGUAGAACGCUGAAGGAGGAGCUUGCUUCUCUGGAUGAGUUGCGAACGGGUGAGUAACGCGUAGGUAACCUGCCUGGUAGCGGGGGAUAACUAUUGGAAACGAUAGCUAAUACCGCAUAAGAGUAGAUGUUGCAUGACAUUUGCUUAAAAGGUGCAAUUGCAUCACUACCAGAUGGACCUGCGUUGUAUUAGCUAGUUGGUGGGGUAACGGCUCACCAAGGCGACGAUACAUAGCCGACCUGAGAGGGUGAUCGGCCACACUGGGACUGAGACACGGCCCAGACUCCUACGGGAGGCAGCAGUAGGGAAUCUUCGGCAAUGGACGGAAGUCUGACCGAGCAACGCCGCGUGAGUGAAGAAGGUUGUCGGAUCGUAAAGCUCUGUUGUAAGAGAAGAACGAGUGUGAGAGUGGAAAGUUCACACUGUGACGGUAUCUUAACAGAAAGGGACGGCUAACUACGUG